Non-coding RNA from Lonchura striata (white-rumped munia), 10042 nucleotides. The record is from RefSeq and is a predicted model, not a curated record. Lineage: Eukaryota; Metazoa; Chordata; Aves; Passeriformes; Estrildidae.
ACACUUUAGGUGCUGGUUCCUCCCACUAAAACCCAACAUUCACAUCUAUGAUAAGGUUUGAACUUAAACACAACCAGAUGUCAGUGCUACUGACACUGUAGCAAAGAUCUUUCUUCCUGCAUUUUUUUCCUAGGAAUGGGGAAGAGAGAGAAAGGCAGGUAACAGGGAAGUAAAACUGGACAAUGGAUGGGAGGAAAAGAUAACUCUAUUCUCAGGUAAUAUUCACAUAAUUUGAACAAUAUAAAAAUUUGUUCUCAAUGGGGUCACUAUUUUUAUGUCUUUUUCUUAAACUAGUAUGCUAUACAAGUCUGGAAAAAACAUUUAAAUUUGGCCAUGUAGGAGCAUGUGCUGAACUCCAGAUUAGAUUUUUGGUUAGUUAUCUAGCCUCUAUCCCUGCACAUGCUCUGGUCUAGUUGUUCAAUCAUAUGGGAAGAAAUGACCUGUGUCAGGGACAGGUUCUUAAAGUGAGAGCUUGAGCAUUUUUUUUUUGUGUCACACAGCUUGAUUUAUUGUUUCUUUAUUCACAUGAAAAUCAAAUUCAUUGAGUAAAUUAUAUAGUGUGAGCAUCUCUUCUGUUAUCAUAGUAGCAGGGUGUGCUAAAUGGAGUAAAUCAGCCAAAUCAUUACUUAUCAUGUGCUUAAUUCAUUGUCAUGGAUUUUUCUCCAUAAGUACUCAUUAUGUCCUUGCAAAUGCAUUGCUGUUGCAUUUCCCUGUAAACAUUAUUUAGGUUUUUUCACUAAUUAGUUAAUACAUAUUACAUUAAUGUUUUUUAAAUUUGGAUGAAAUCACAAGUGCUUAAUUCAGCUUACAAAUGUCUUUGUGCUAUGUUACUGAUAAGUUUAUUUAAAGAGUUUUGUAGGGAAAGUUGUAUAAAAUAAAGAAUUUUGCAAGAGUCAUGAAGAUACAAGAGAAGUAAAGAAGACAUUUUCUACUCUGUGUGUGCUAAAACUACAAGAGACUGAGGAACAUCUCAUCUGCAGCUGGUGAGAAAUUGUGGGAGCUAAGAUUCAUCUCAAGAUGCAGUGCCAAGGCCCUGACAUGCUUCAUCUUUUUCCUCCACAGUGAGUUCUAUUUUCUUCUUUUUACAGCUGUUUCCUCAGUCCCUUUUGCACAAGGUUCUUUGUUGUGUGUGUUCCUGGGGACUGUGUGGGAAGAUGCAGAUCAUGAGAGGGGAUGAUGUGAGCAAUUCACAAAGUCCUUUGACAUACAAUACAGGCAGAACAUACUACUGGCUUAACAUGAGGAAGCACAGGUGAUGGGAAACAGCUCAGAGGUUCAAGAAGUUCUUCUUCAAGAAGAGGAAAAUAUUGAAGAAGAAUCAGUGGUAUUAUUUUACAAAAUCAUAGAAUCAUAGACUAUUCUGAGUUGGAAGGGACCCACAAGGAUCACUGAGUUCAACUCUUGGCCCUGCACAGGAAGGCCCCAAGAGUCACACUAUGUGCCCAAGAACAUUGUCCAAAAGCUUCUUCUAACAAGCCUUUGGGUGAAAAAGCUUUUCCUGAUAUCCAAUGUAAACCUCUCCUGACACAGCUUUGGUCCAUUCCCUUUGGUGCUGUCACUGGUCAUCAGAGAGAAGACAUUGGUACCUGCCCCUCCACUUCCCCUUGUGAGGAUGUUGAAGAACUCAAUGAAGUGUUCCCCUCAGUCUUCUCUUCCCCAGGCUGAACAAGCCAAGUGACCACAGCCUCUCCUCAUACAGUGUUCCCUUCAGACCCUUCACCAUCUUUGUAGCCCUUCUUUGGACACUCCCUAAUAACUUUCUAUCUUUCUCAAAUGAUGGUUGCCCAAAACCACACAGGAUUUGAGGUGAGGCUGCCCCAGAACAGAGCAGAGCAGGACAAUCCUCUCCCUUGCCUGGCUGGUGAUGCUGUGCCCAAUGCCCCCCAGGACAGCGUUGACCCUCCUGGAUGCCAGGGCACUGCUGAUUCAUCUUCUCAUUGAUGAGGACCCCCUGUAAGUGGUCCUGCUUUGCAGCGUCUCAUUCCCCACUCUGUUCAUACAUCCAGGCUUGCCCCAUCCCAGGAACAGACUCCAGCACUUGUCUUUGUUGAACUUCAUAUGGUUGGUGAUUUCCCAUCUCUCUAACUUCAGGGAAGAUUUUGUUUUGAGGGGGGGAAGAGGGAAGAAUAAAAGCAAAGAGGAAUGUUUCUGUUUCAGAGUCUGGAGUGCCCUGUGCUCUCACCUAAAGAGCAAAUUAUUUUCUUGUGGUGACUUUAACUAAAUGGAGUUGAUCUAUCCUUUGCUUUUGAUGCAAAGCGAGACAACUGAGGAUUUUAAAAUUAAAGGAGUUGUGGUAUUUACUGAGCAGACUGGAAGGAGGCCUGGACAGCACAUCCCUAUUGCCACAUCCAUUCUUUCCUAGCUGCUACCACAGGUAAUACAGUGGCAUUAUCCACUUGGUGGGAAGAAAUGUUGAACAAGGAACAGUGGAAGUAGGCCCUGGGCCAGGAGCCUUACAUUAUCCAAUCCUGAGCACAUGGCAAGUCUCUUUGCCAGAAGAAUUUCUGCUUAACAACUUUGAAGUAACACCAGUGCAACAGAAGCACGCCACUUUUGAACAUGGCUAUUUCAAUAGAUUUGACUGUAGUAAAGUUCUUGUAUCUCGUGUAUAAGAACACAAACAUCUAGUUUGUCUCUGUUUUUCCCUUAGUAUUCACAGUUUGCUUUGGGCACUUGCAGCAUUUAGGAAGAAUAUCAGUCUGAUUUGUUGCCUGCAAGAGAGUCUAAUUAAAACAAGAGUGCAGGAUGGGAACUGAUGACACACAGUGCAGCUGAGCUGCUCCCAAAGCUGAACAUGGCAGCUGUGGUUUCCGUCAUUUGCAAAACCUCAGCCAACACGUUGGCCCCACAGAGUUAAAAUAAAUGUCUAAUUAUGUUGUUUAACUAUUUUGGUUCCAAAUUCCUGCUUGAAAAGUAUUGCAAAAGAUGUGAGAGAAGCACUGAGAGUGCCAUUAUCACGUCUGUGGCUUGCCAGUAAAUCGAUGCUUUCUCUUAGUCAGGUUCCUCCCUUCCCUGUGCCUGUGGUCAGGCUGCAGAGGAAGCAGAGUGUGUGCUUGUACCAGUCUCCAGCCCUCUCCCCUCCCGUCACUUGGCACUGACUCACAGCACUGUGUUUUCAACAUGAUGCUAAUUAGCUGCUGAGUAGUGAGAUACUGUGAACUCUGAGAGAAAAGACAGACUUCAAAGAUGUUUUCCAUUUUUUUUUUAAAUUUUGACAGUAAUAAAAAAAAUUCUUAUCACUGUGGUCUGGAUCCAGCAAUUUCUUAUGUGCAGGAAGAUAUUGUGCUAGGUUAUUCUGGGGUGAGGAGGCUGUGACUUUGUUCUUUGCUUUCCAUGGAGUGGGCCAAAGAGAGGGAACAAAUAUGGAUUGCUGUGCCAAAUUUGGUGGCUAUAAUUCGACAGGGUGGUACUAGUGUGCCAAGCAGAGGAAAAUUCAUGCAGGAAGAGAGACUGAGAUUCCUCCAUCAGAACAACCUCUUGGGAGGUCUUGUUAGGUCUGAGCCCAGUUUGGGGCACUGACAUCUUUUCAUGCACAGCUUAAACAAAUGCUCUUGGUUAAAGUGACGAGGACCAUUAGGUCCUUCAGAAUCCCUGUUGUUUUAUUCCAUAUUCACAAAAUCACUUGCCAGUAAAUCAACUGGUAAUGUCCCAACUAAUGGGUCUAUGGUCUUUGGACAUAGGCUGUCUAUCAGUUAAGCUGUUUCUGAACCAAAUGUUCAUCAAAAUGGUCUUUAUCCAGAACCCUGGAAAUAAAGUGACUUUUUACACACAAAUGGUUACCACUGGUCAUGCAUCUUUAAUUAAGUGGUGGCCCACUUCUGCCAUACUAUGUUAUUCUUAAUUUGUCAUUCUUCAAAUAGCUUAAUAAGAUAUAAAUGUUGAAUAUAUUGUAAAAAUCUAGGGGAAAAAGUUUUUGAGAAAGACUUUUUUCAUCUGAGUCCAUUUGUCUUUUAUUUUCCUGAUGUUAAAGGUCUUUCCUUGCCCAGUUUUGAAAAUUCUGCACAACAUAUAAUCAAUAUAGUCAGUGGCCCACUUGCUAUUAAUUUGUGUGAUCAAGACCUCUGAACUCCUCAGGGAACACUUUGAGUCAACAGUUUGCAUUCAUCAGGCUCAUGAUUCACACACAAAUAAACUGUGACUGUAGCUGAUGUGCUUGCUUAGUUAUCUUGAGAUCAUUAUUUUGUUCUCCCACAAACUGAGUUUCAUGUUUCUCAUAAUUAUACUGAGACGUCUUUGUUUUCACAUGGAACAAAUAAGAGAGGAAAAUGAAAGCUAGAGGUCCAAGAAGUCAAGUCUUUUCUGUAUCCAGUGUUUUGGCCUUCUUUGAUUGAUGAACAUUUUGAAUUCCAAAGGGAUUAACUGCAAUAACAGUUGUUAAUUAUUGCAAAGGGAAACUGGCUGAAGAGAAAAAGUACUUGUUUCCAGAGCUAGGUUGCAUAUCUCUCUUCAGCUAAGGGCAUAUUGAUACUAUGAACAAUGACUGCACACCACAGUCAACUGAAAAACCAAUUGAUUUUUUAGUAUUUUUUUGGAGCAUGUGGUCAGUUGGUGAUAUUCUCCUUUUCUAGUCCAGGUAUUCUGAUUUUAAUUCUCAGUUUUGUCUCCAAACAAAUGCUUUUUGUAAUUAGAGAAUUACAAAAAGACUUUCUGAAAAGUCUACAUAGGAGGAAAAGUAUGUUUAACUUAUUUUGUUCUAGUAUGAUCUUGUGAGGAGUUCAAAUGUGAUGACUGCAUACAAAUCUUGGUGCCCUAUGGUAGGAAUUUAAAUGAAAUAUUUUUAUUUCUCUUAAACUGGAGAUAACAUAACUUACAAAUUAACAAAAAGUAAAGCUGGAGGAAAAUUAAAUUAAAUACUUCCAGCUGCCCUUGGAUCUCUAAAACUUGUCAGUCUCUUUCCUUGUUUCACUUUUUGCAUGUGCACAUCUGAGUAGUAUUUUAUUCUCAUAUGUAUUUCAGGAUUUAUUCAUGUCUAUUUGUUUAAACUGUGUAAUUCAUAAAUGUGUAGAUUGUUGUUAGCUUUUAUCCAGAUACCAGCCAUAAUUCCUUUUUAUCUUGACCAUUAUUGUCAUAUAAUUCAAAGUAAAUCUAAAAUAACAUUUUAUUUUCUACACCUUUUAGCAUUCUUCUACAAAAGAAGUGAAAACUGCUCUUCUAUUUUUUUUAAUGAGGGAGAAUUACUUAACGGAUAUUAAAAUAUACCAUGAUUUCUCCUGCUUACUAAAUCCCUGAUCUGAUCCCAGGUCAUAAGAAGCUGAAGGAGACAGAAAUCAGUGUUAACUGUACCUGUCCAAAUGUGAAUUUUCUCCUGAGUAUGCAAAGGAAGGUCAUGAAUCAACACACGCCAUGCUGGACCUCUGCUGGUGUGACCACAUCUUGGCUGUGGGGAUGCACUUGGCUACUUUUGAAGGCUUACACUUACCACUGCCAGCUGUAAAGCAGAAGGACUUUGCAGCCAGCAUGAGGCCAGCGUGGGAGGAUGUGCUGCUGCUGUCUUUCGCAGCUCAUCUCUCUGCUCUGUGGAGGUGCUUUAUUUAUCAGGUGCAAUGAGCAUGAGACCUCCAAACCUGAGAUUUUAUUGUGCCACAGAGCCCAGAAAGGCAACCAUGCUUCCCAGGGACAGCAAUCUUCCUUCAGCUGCAAAUGCAAGAGGGGACUACAAUUAAUAUUGCACAGUGCAUGUUUUGAAAAAAUACUUCAUCGAAACUGUGUCAGCUUUAAAUUUUUAAGUUGAAUAUUAUCCUGGAUUUUCAAACACUUUGUUAAGUAAUGGAUACAUACAGGUGCUUGCAAUUAUAGAGGAGUGAAACUUUCACAGCAUGUCAAUGGCACAUCCUGUUGCUAUCAAAAGAGUCACAGGUGAGGUUUCCCAGGCAAGUAUUAAUUAAGCUAGCAAAAGGGACAGCAAAAGCUGUUAUGUUAAGGAUAGCUUUCCACAUCACAAUCCAUGCUUAGAAAAUGUGAAUAAUGUUUUCUUUUGAAAAGGCUACAGUAAAAUGGGAAUGGAGGAAGGAAGAAAAAACCAGAAUGUAGUAUGUUCAGACUUUUUUUUUUCCCCCCAGCUUGUUAAUGCUUGUUACCUUUAUACAGCUUCUCUGCUGUUAAAAUAAAAUUGAAAGAAAAUACAUCCCUUACAUUUCAAUGAAAAAUUUAAAAGACUGAAAUGGACACAUUCCUGCAAUAUCUUCUUAUUCAGAACAUCUCUGGAAUUUUCCGGUACUUCAGUGAAACAUUUAGGUGUCCCACAUAGUUUCUUUUCCAGUUUUCAGUAUUCCCCUCAUGGGGAUGGUCUCCCUGACUCAUCAUGCCAUCCAGUUGCUGUAUCUCUUUCAACUUUAAGUGUAUGUUUACACAGUUAAAUUAAGUGUUCUGUAAAUUAAAUGCUCUACUAAAAUCCCGCCAGGAGACUGCCAUUGGUCGAUGCAGACUUUUUCCUUCAAAUCCAUUGCCCUCUCCAAUGAGAAAUUUCCAGAGAUCCCCCCUCUUCUAGGUUUCUUAUCCAUCCACAGAGGUAGUGUAGGCUAUCAACUUUAACUUUCAACCCUCACGUGAGAUCAGCUUUAGAUAUUUCUGUUGCAAGUUUCUAAACUACACUGGAAACUUUUUGAGUGCUACUAUGGCAGCAGCAAGGCAUGAGUUGUAUCACUGUGGAGGCUGUGCAACUUCACAGUGAGGACACCAGUACCUGCUUGGGUCUAGAUUCAAAAGGGCCUUACUUGCCUUCUGGGCUUUGCAGCACCUAACUUGAAUUUAGAAAUGAGGAAGAACUAUUAAAGAGUUCAACCCUCUUGGAUAAAGAAUAAUCUGGGUAUAGCAGCAAACUUUGGAAUUGUUACUACCCUGACUUUUACCUUAUUGUAAUGGUAGCCAGAAUUAUAUGCAUGAAAUUUGAACAAAAUUUGAACAUAAUUAGUAAUACUCUCAAUAUAUUUUCUAAAUACAUGACUGAGUGAAAUUCUAGCUAAUUAUUUUCAUAUUUUUCCUUAUAAUUAAAUGCUUUUGGAUAUUUUGUACUUAGGAACAGAUUUUAUUCUUUAAUACUCAUUAAAAACCAUGACCAAGGUGCACAGUGUAGCUUUAAAGCAUCUCACAAGUUUUCUAUUUCAAGAUUCAGAGCAUCAAAAUUAUGAUCUGUCUGAAAUUAUAAAUGAACCUUCUUCAAAAUGUUUGCCUUUAUGAUCUCCUAGUUUGCAUUUCUCCAAUAUUAUUUGUUACUUAUAAUACAAUUUGCCUUGUUUUGUUUUGAUGCUUGAAUUUCAUGUUACAGUAGCAAUAACACACUCCAGUUGAGUUUCACUCUGCUUGAGUGCUUACAAAACCAUUUGGCUUUCUAUCUCAUACCUGUUAAUGCCUCCUGCAGUCUGCAAUAUCCAUUCAAGAAAUUCACUGCUUGUCAUGGCCUAUUGGUUUAAAUUAAAAAACUAAAUUUGGAAACUCCACAUGCUCUGCUAUCAGUUUUUCUAGUGUAAAGCUGUCUUAUCAUGGGAAAUUGCCGAUGGACUUCACCAUGCCUGAAAAAAUUCAGCAUCAAUAGAGUAGAAACAGAGUAAAAGAAUAUUUUGGCUGUGUGAUCUUGGUGAAAUAUAGUGUAGAUAUAAAUGUGAAACCUGUCAAAAAAAAAAAAAAUCCAAAUUAUUUUAAAGCAACCUCUGCUUUGGGAGAUUGAAUGCACCAUGGAGACCCUGAGGUGGAAUGUGACAUGGCAGUAUCAGUCAGAGAUACUCACACAGGUGAGGAGGCACUACAGGAACAUCAGCAAAGCAUCAUGCCUGUGCCAGCCUGUGCUGCGUGAUAAUCGUGCCUCUCUGUGACAGCUUGUGUGGAGACAUGUCUGCUGGCUGUGAUGUAAACACAGCAGUCCAAGAGCAUCCUGAGUCACCACAGCCUUUUGCCUUCAGGAUAGCCCCCAAAUCCCUUUUUGCCUGACUAGGCCUACUCAUGUGGUACUUAAAAUCCUGGGGAGACACUGACAGUCAACAGAACAGGUUUGCACACUGAGAAGGGAUGCCAUCCAGAAAAACCUUUUGGGACAAAUUUUGGAAGUGGACCUGUGUUCAAGACCAAGUGUGAGGUCCUGCACCUCAGUCAGGGCAAUCCCAAACACAAGUACUGGAUGGAGACCAGAUCAAGAGAAAUAUUUGGGCUGUUGGACAAGAAACUUGACAUGAGCCAGCAAUGUGUGCUUGGAUCCCGGAGGUUAACUGUGUCCUGGGCUACAGCCAAAGCAGCAUGGCCAGCAGGCUAAGAGCAGUCAUUCUGCUCCUCUACUCCACUCUUGUGAGACCCCACCUGGAGUUCUGCAUUCAACUCUGGAGCACCUAACAUAAGAAAGUCAUGGACCUACUGGAAAUGAGUCCACAGGAAGGCCAUGAAGAUGCCCAAUGGACUGGAAUACUUCUUCCCCUAUGAGGACAGGCUGAGAGAGUUGGGGUUUAGCCUAGUGAAGAGAAGUCUCUAGGGAGAUGCUAUAGCAGCCUUCCAGUACCUACAGUGGCUACAAGAGAGCUGGAGAGGGACUUUUUGCAAGGGCAUGUAGUGAUGGAACAAGAGGGAGCAACUUCAAAUUAUAGGAGGGAAUAUUUGCAUUAGUGUUAGAAAGAAAUUCCUUACCCAGAGAGUAGUGAGGCACUGGAACAGGUUUCCCAGAGUUGUGGAUGAACCACCUCUGGAAACACCCAAACCAGGCUGGCUGACACUUUGAGCAACCUGGUUUAGAGGAAGGUGUCCCUUCCCAUGGCAGAGCAGUUGGAACUAGGUGAUCUUUAAGGUCUCUUCCAACCCUACCUUGCUAUGUUUCUAUGAAAGUGUCACACCCAGCAGUGGGUGUGACAAAGGUCUCACUUCUAUAUAUCUAAGAAUACUGUAUCUCCCACUGGAAAGGAAUACUACCUGCUCUGUACUACAGAGGAAAGCCGAUCAGUAAAAGCACAUAACCAAGGGUAAACACAGUUGUUAUGUAAAGGGUGACAAGCAAGUCUGUAAGAACUCCUGGCUCUACCCCAGCACUGCAAGUCUGAGUCUAGAUAGCUCAGAUCAGUGAGGUGCUCAAUCUAGAUUGUUGCACUUGUGUAUCUGCCUGCUUUAUCAAUGCUUAGACUCGGCAGAUCAGCUUCUCAUCAAUCUGAAGGGCAAUUUCCUUUACAGCAUCCUACCAAAUACCAUCUAGAGAUAAGUUUACAUAAAAACCUGAAAAUCCAGGUAUUUUUAGUGUUCACUUAAUGGAUAGGAUGGGAUCCCUUGCAAUAAUGUGGUAGAAGCCUGUAUUAGGAAAAGAAGUUGGUUUACAUGCAAAGGUUCAGUCACACCGUUGGGAUGAGGGAAGUCUAGAUUAAAUACUUUCAGUAGAUCUGUCCUGUCCCUGGGAAAUGCUCUCAAGUGGGAGAGAGCAUUGGGUAAAUUUGACCUGUGUUAAAGCUGUGCCCUUGUGCAGGUACACAAUGUUCAAAUUUUUGGAUGCCAGACAGAAGAGUAUAGCUGGGCCCUUGGUAUAUCUACUUAAUGUUUUCAAGCAGAUGCCAGCUUUGUAUCUUCACGUGUCAAGCUGGCUGAAUGUGAGCCAGCUCUCAGCUGAAGCUGUGCAGCUCUAGGUAAUGCAUUACUUGCUCUAGGAUAAUCAGAAUCAGGAUUUCUUUAGGCUGGAUCCACUGCCACUCCAAAGCAACUAGAGAAUAUUCAACCUGCUGAUAGAGCAGGCACCUCUUAAAUAAGGGCACCCAGCUUUGAGGUGCCUGGAGAAGGCCUUGGACUCCAGUCACAACCUCCAACUGUUCCUGGGCUUGUAGGUGUUCUCCAUCUAUGUCGCAGAAAUCAUACCAAGUUUGGAUUGAUCACAGCACGAUCAAAGCCAUGCUGUGACAAUAAGCAAUUUGAGCUUCCCUUUUUUCUGUUCCUGACUAGACCACUAUAGAGCUUUUCAGUGUUUAUAGCUUUAUAACUUAGUUAUUUAUCUCCAGGUCACAUCACGUGCUGUGUCUUGACUGCAAAUUGAUUUUUGUUCACUGUGUAGCUCUAACUUUUAAAAAUAAAGUUGUUGUGGAAUUGUGGU